AGCUGUGCACAGUGGCAGGAUUGUAGACACUGAGGUUUAUCUGAGAUGUAAUUAUUGCUAAUUGAAAACUUGGAUCAGCCUAUGGC
Small nuclear RNA from Tupaia belangeri (northern tree shrew), 86 nucleotides. Its record names the gene U4. It matches the Rfam family "U4 spliceosomal RNA". From Rfam's summary of the family: U4 small nuclear RNA (U4 snRNA) is a component of the major U2-dependent spliceosome. The structure of U4 snRNA from yeast and human has been reported. The record is from Ensembl. Lineage: Eukaryota; Metazoa; Chordata; Mammalia; Scandentia; Tupaiidae.